GAUGAACGCUGGCGGCGUGCCUAAUACAUGCAAGUCGAGCGAACAGACGAGAAGCUUUUUCCCUUGACGUUAGCGGCUGACGGGUGAGUAACAAGUAGAUCACCUACCUAUAAGACUGGGAUAACUUCGUGAAACCGGAGCUACUACUACAUAACAUGACCUACCGCUUGGAUCAACAGUGCAUCACAGUCUUGCUGUCUCUUAUAGAUGGAUCCGCGCGGGAUUAGCUACUUGGUAAGGUCACGGCUAACCAAGGAGACGAUGCGUAGCUGACCUGAGAGGAGGAUCAGCAACACUGGAACUGAGACACGGUCCAGAUUCCUACGGGAGGCAGCAGUGGGGAAUAUUGGACAAGGGGCGCAAGCCUGAUCCAGCCAUACGGGGGGGGUGAAGAAGGCCUUCGGGUUGUAAAGCCCUUUUGUUGGGAAAGAAAAGCAGCAGGUUAAUACCCCGCUGUUCUGACGGUACCCAAAGAAUAAGCACCGGCUAACUUCGG
Molecule: ribosomal RNA, 496 nt
Filed under: uncultured bacterium
Lineage: Bacteria
Description: partial 16S ribosomal RNA
Rfam family: Bacterial small subunit ribosomal RNA
Source: RNAcentral